UAGCUUUCGCAGCAAAUAUGUUUAAAUUGGAAUGAUAGAGAAAAUAUCAGCAUUGCCUCUGCACAAGAAUGAGAGGCAAACUCAUGAAGUUAUAUAAUUUUUU
This is a small nuclear RNA of Bombina bombina (fire-bellied toad), 103 nucleotides long. NCBI's taxonomy places the organism in Eukaryota, Metazoa, Chordata, Amphibia, Anura, Bombinatoridae. The record is from RefSeq and is a predicted model, not a curated record.